GGCGUUGUUGUAUUUUGUACGUAUGAUCGGAUCGACGUGAGCGAGGCAGAAGUCGAUCUAGUGCAGCACCAGGGCCAGGGUAGUAGUUCCUGGCCUAGUGGUCGCUGUUCUCCUUUUAUUGGGUUCAUUUCACUCGUAGAAGACGUGGGACGUGAUCAUUAAAUAGGAGCAAGAGACGAGCGUGCAGUUUGUGAACGAAAAAAAAAAAAAAAAAAAUGAUAAAACGCUCUACUUCAAAGCAGUAUAAAGUAUACAACAACGGAGUAGCGUCAGGCAAACAGCGAGUGUCUUUCGCCUGGUCUCUUCUCUCGUACGGUGAACAACAAUUGAGAGGUUUCAGGAUUACGGAGGGAGACGCGCGUUAAUUUGCUGCAGCUGCAAUUGCACAAGAGAACGAUGGGAGCGACGACUACGAGGAGACGAUGCGAGGACGACUGCUUCAUUGCUGCUGCUGCUCUUGCUCAGAUUUGAUGUGACAGAGUAAUCUUUAACACAUUGACUCAUCAGCAUUGAUGAAAUAAUCUACUAGUUCUUUCAAAAUGAUCAGUGUGCAAUUAAAACGAAAUGUGGCCAUCAGGUGAUAAUAUAGCAUGUUUGGUAUGCUGGUUCAAGGGGUCAUGAAAGUAGUUCAAGUGAUAUAAUUUAGUCUGAUGUUGUAUACACAUUUGAGCCCAUAAUAUGAUGGGAAUAUUGUAUGAAAAGAGGCCUCUCAAAAGGCCGAGGCUAGGACCACCGGACGUCUAUCCUCAAGAACCUAAGCAAAAAGAGGAUGAAUUGACACCAAACAAUGUUAAGCAUGGCUUUACCACUUCCUUACAACUGUCGGAUGAGCACGGCACUGCUAGAAAUUGUAAUGUCACCGCAGCUAAGGUGGGAGCUUACUUUCAUAGUAUAUUGGCAAAGAAGGAAGAGCUUGCCACUAUGCCUGAUUCAGGCAGGAAGAGACAACAGAUUAAUCCAAAGGAUAAUUUUUGGCCUGUAACUGCUAGAACUAAAAAUGGUAUUGAGGCUUGGUUCAAGGAUCUGUCAGGCUGCAAGCCAUUAGUAUCUCUGGCUAAAAAAGCUCCCAACUUCAAUAAGAAAGAGGAAAUAUUUUCUAUGCUGUGCGAAUAUCAAGUGCCCAUGUUAAGAGCUGCCUGGUUCAUAAAGCUUAGUUCUGCUUACACAGUUGCAGUUUCAGAAGCUAAAAUUAAAAAGAGGCAAUUACCAGAUCCAACGACAGAAUGGACAGGAACGUUGACAAAGUUUCUUAAGGACCAGCUGUCGAAGCUUCAAGACUACUAUCAUCUAAGCAGUCACUCGUCAAGCAGCUCAAGCUUAAACACCAGUGGUAGCAGUAGCAGUAGUAGUGGAAGCGGUGCCACAGCUAAUGGACCCUCCAACUCAUCCUCGAGUAGUAGUGGUGGCAACAGUUCGAUAACAAUGAACGGCACUGCGACACCCGGUGGCCAAGGUAUCACUGCAAACGGUAUCUUGAACGUCCAGCCUGUCACACCCAACGCGAAUUUGAUUUCAAACAAUCUGUGCCCCCACACGCCGGCUAUGAGCGAGGAGCACAAGCUUGCUUUUAGACAGUGGCACUACUGCACUCAAUUAGCCAAAUACAUGUUUGAAGAAGGUCUACUAGACAGGCAGGAGCUACUCCAGUGGAUCCUCGAGCUGUUGGACAAGAUGCGCUCGGCACCGUCUGACGACGGGAUCCUAAAAAUUUUACUGCCAUUAGCUCUACAAUACCUCGAAGAGUUUGUGCAGUCGGAGCUAUUGGCUCGCAAGCUCGCUUAUCUAUGUUGUAAAAAGAUAGCGCACAUGUGUAAUAAUUUGGAUACCUCUUGCAAUCCUCAAAGUCCGUCCGCUGUCGCUGCUGCUGCCGCGGCAGCAGCAGCAGCAGCAGCAGCAACAGUAAAGAGUGAGUUAAAUGGAAACAAAGACGGCAUGUCGUUGAUAGCGCCCGUGGUCAAUCAGCUAAAUGCUUUGUUCAACGAUUACUUAAAUUGUCCUCAUCAUAAGGACGUGCUUUACGGACUCUCGGCUAUUAUUCAGGUCAUCACGUUAGAAUGUCCGACAGCAUUGGUCUGGAACAAUGUUGGUGAAGGUAAAUCGAUCUCGGUACUGAACGGUUCACCAUUGGACCAUUUGCCAUGCCCACCUGCUGCGCUGCCAAGCCCACCGUCAAGUGCGGCUGAUCCGACAAAACGCCUACUCAAGAUAGCUCAAGAAAAUAUUCGGUUGCGUUCACAGGCUGCUGAGAGUAGGUGGUCUUGCGACAAGUGGCAACAGAGCAGUGCGGGUAUGACAACGACAAGAGUAUUAGCAGCCCUGGAUGCUUUAGACCGGCAUAGUUUUGAUCGGAUGGAUGCCAACAAUUCUCUGGACACGCUCUAUGCCAAAAUUUUUACGAAUCCAACAAAAGAUGCUAGUGGCGGCACAGUGGCAGGAGUCACGCUGCCUUGCAGUAGUAGUAGUAGUAAUAACAGCAUCAAUGCCAACCCGUCGAUUUCUACGGGCGACAGUGCUAAUUCAAAGACCGAAUAUAAUCCGCAGCACGACGCGCCAAUUGUUGAGAUUUUGUGCGAGUGGGCAGUCAGUGCCGAGCGUUGGGGCGAGCAUAGAGGAAUGGCUGUAGCUAAAUUGCUGGAGAAGCGGCAGAGCGAAGCGUUGGGCGAGAACAACGAUAACGACGACAAAGAUAGUGUUUGUAGUAACGGAAAUGGUCCACCUGCGCUACCCAUCUUCCAGUCAUUGCUUAUGAAGUUCCUUGAUGUCGAUGCACCUGUGCUCGAUAACAACUCGCUCCAGUCUAAAGCGCAGUUCACAAAUCUCGUGCAUCUAUUCGCAGAACUGAUAAGGCACGAUGUUUUCUCGCAUGAUGCUUACAUGUGUACUUUAAUAUCCAGGGGUGACCUCAUACAAGGUCCAGCAGCCAGCAAAGCCAGCACACCAAGUAAUCGCGAUCCCAUGGACGAGGACAGCUUGUUUCCUGGUAUUGACUUGAAGCCGACGAAACUUGUAGAGCCGCACGACCAUUUGCGCUCAACCAACGAUUACGACGACAGCAAGAUCGACGACGACCUCGACAAGAUUUUACAAGAUAUCAAGGACGUACAGCAGAACAGUAUGGAUGCACCUGAUAGUCCCAAAGAGAGCGACGCACUCCAUGGCCCCCACGAUACCGGUCUUGACUCUUCUUCGAAGCCACCUUCUAGUCCAAGUCGGCAUCUCCUCUAUACGACUCACUUUCCUCUACCCCAAGACGAAACCUGCAGUCAGCACGAUUGCAAUCAACGACACGUACUCCUCUACGGCGUAGGCAGGGUAAGGGACGAGGCGAGACAUGUAGUGAAAAAAAUGACCAAGGAGGUGUGCAAACUAUUUGGCAAAAAGUUCAGCAUCGACGUCGCCGAGGGCGGUAAAGUCAAGAAACACUCGCGCAGCGAGUUCAACUUUGAGGCUACCACCCAAAAGUUUCAGAAUCUCAGUUACUUUGAUCAGCAUGUGGUCACUUGGCAGUGCGCAACUCAGGUCGUCGACAUGCUCAACACCUUCGUCACGGGCUCCUCGUAUCUGCCUGUUCAGGAGCACGUGGCUUUCCUCUUUGACCUCAUGGAGCUUGCUCUCAAUAUUUACGGACUCAUCGAAAUUUGCAUACAGAUUCUAAAAGAGCUUCCAGAUGUAGAGGCGCAGCUGGACGCCAGAAAGAGCAAUCUUGUACGGAACUACACGACGAAUCUUAGUCUUUACGUUGUCGGUGUCCUCAGGCGAUAUCAUUGCUGCCUUUUGCUCUCUCCGGAACAAACGACCGUGGUCUUCAGCCUCCUUUGCAAGAUGGUGGCGCACGUCUCGAAUCCUAGUGACUGCAGCUCAGCCGAGCGUUGCGUGCUGGCGCAUCUCUACGACCUAUACUCCAACUGUUCGCUUUUAAAGACCAAACCCCACAGUUCCGAGGGCUUCAACAACGCGAAUCCAAAAAUUCGCGCGGCUUAUUACACCGCACUCACGCUCACGCCAUCGAAUCACUUGUACAACUCGGAUUUCAUGUUGGACGUGCUGAAUAGCCCACGUCGCGGUGGCAAGAUCGAGCCCCAGUGGGCAAGGCAGCUCAACGAGACGCCGGCCAAUCGUUACAGCUUCGUGUGCAAUGCCAUCAUUAUCGUGUGCAGCGAAACCGACAACGACAAGCUCAACGACAUCGCGAUAACUUGCGCCGAGCUCACGGCGUGCUGCAACUCGCUGAACAACGAGUGGCUCGGCGUACUUAGCGCUCUUUGUUGUUCGUCCAGCAGUUCUACCAAUUACAUCGACGUACAGAGUCAGGUCGACGUUACUAAUUUAGCCAUCCACAAUUCGUUGGCCGUUUUUGUUUCCAUACUAAUAGCCAGACACUGUUUCUCACUGGAAGACUUUGUCCGACACAUCGCUAUCCCGUCUCUCGUAAAAGCCUGCGAUGAUGGUCGUGGCGAUGCGGACAUGGAUGCAGAGGCAGGCGCUCGGCUCACCUGUCACCUAUUAUUACGUCUAUUCAAGACGAUUGAGUGUCCUCAGCCGUCCCUCUACUCCGUGGGCACGAGUCCACACCCAAAUAAUAUUAAUCAGCGUACUUACAGUAUCAAGCUUAGCUGUGACAGGCAUCUGCUCGCCGCCGCGCAUAACAACAUCAGCGUUGGACCGCUGAUAGCUGUGCUGAAGGCAAUUCUCGUGGUGGGCGAUGCCACAGCAGGUAAACAGCCACCCAAGAAACCUGAUACGCAGAUUCACUCGGGCAAAGGUGGGCCUGGUAGUGUUGGGGGUAGCGUGUCCGGUGAGCUGUCCAUCAGUCAUAUUUUAGGAACAAGUGAUAUUCUUGGUGGGGGUGACGAUCUUGGCUUGGAUCUGGGUAUGUCGUCAUCAAACAGUAGUGUCGGAAUGACCACGGAGAAUGUGAAAGGACUCUCGGAUUUUGCUCAACACGUCUUGGGACAGAUAUGUAGUCAAAAAUGGGUUCUCGAGAGGUGUUUGCAAAAUCCGGAGGAGCUCUGUCAGGAGGACAUGCUUCUCGAUAACAUGCUCACUCCUCAACAGGCUCAAAGAUUGCUUCACAUGAUCUGCUAUCCCGAUACAUCACCAGACGCAUUUCUCGAUCAAAAAACUCACAUCACGAAUAUUCUUGAGAAUCUUGAGCAAUGGAGUUUGCGCGUUUCCUGGCUGGAUCUGCAGCUACAGUACAAACAGUUUCCACUUAAUUCAACUGAACUUUCUCAGUGGCUGGAUACCGUGGCCAAGGCAGCCAUCGAUGUUUUCCAGUUGAACAAUGUAUCCAGUAAGCCUGAGAAAAGGUCGGACUCUAUUUGGCUGGUAGCUCCUCUAGUGUCCAAAUUGCCCAGUGCUGUGCAGGGUAGAGUGUUGAAAGUAGCUGGGCAAGUGUUGGAGUCCGGUAACUGGUCCAAAGCCGCAGGUAGAGACAGUCGAAGGUCGAAGAGCCCGUCGAUGUUCAAUCACCAGCCUUUUUUGUCAUUGGUGUUGACGUGCCUGAAAGGUCAGGACGAUCAGAGGGAAGGUCUCCUGACGUCGCUGCAUUCGCAGCUGUCUCAGUUCUGCACAACUGGCAAGGAUGAAAAGAGCAUCGGCAGUGACGAUCCGAAGCUCCAGCUGCGCUUUAGCCUAGUUGGCGGUGUCUUUGACACGAUACAGCGCAACAUUGCGGUUACAAACGACUGGGCCAUGCUUCUGGUCCAACUUGUUAGCUACAGUGUCAUUGAUCUCAACAAUAGCUCUGAACUUUUCACGACAGUCAUUGAUAUGCUUGCCACUCUCAUACAUUCCACCCUAGUCUCGGAUUCACAGAGUGAAAAGGAUGAGAACAAAAAGUACUAUCAAAACCUCAUGAAGAAGUUGAAAAAGGAAUUAGGUGAUAGGAAUAAUCAAAGUAUACAGUUUGUAAGGCAGCUACUGCCACUACCCAAAGUAACAAUGGAAGUCAUAACCUGCGAACAAGUUGGUUGUCUCACAGAUACAAAGGGUAAUAAGAUUACGGGCUUCAGUAGCAUCGAUAAGAAACAAGGACUGCAAGUGUACAAUGCGCAGCGUGUUUCUGCGUGGGAGCUGCUUGAAGGUCACAAGAAUCCAGCUCCACUGUCCUGGGCCUGGUUUCGUGCCGUAAAGCUCGAACGUAAACCCUUGACGUAUCAGAACGCGCACAAACUGCUGCGUUACCACACACACAGUCAGAUCAGGCCUCCGUCGUACUACUUGGAGCCGCCUCCAUUGCCUCCCGAAGAUCUCGAGCCCGACAAAAAAGAACUAGAGCCUGGUAAGGCCGACACACCCAUGAGUGUCGACUCGCCUGGACGUAUUAUGGCUGGAAUGAGUGGUAUGGGCAAGGGCAAAACUGCCAAGAAGAGACCCCGCAAGAGCAAGGGCGCUGUCACGCCUACGAAUCCCAUGGUACCUCAACAGAUGCCGCAGGGACCCAACACCAUGCAACAGAUGGGUUACAAUCCUCAGGUGCAAAUGGCACAGCAGCCCAACAUGUUUCCUAACCAGCCGCCACAAGUGCCGCAGCCGCAGCCUCAACAACCGCAACAGCCUCCGCAGCAGCAGCAGCAACAGCAGUGGUAUCCAAAUCAACAGCAGGCUCCUCAGGCUUGUCAGCCAUACAACCCUUACGGGCAACAAAUGGCCCCCGGCCAGGUCGGUGGUCCACGUUACGAUCGUCCUGGACCCACAGGCUUCAACCAGUCGCAGUCUAAGCAGGCACUCACCAACAUGCUCAGGCUACGAUUGCCGUCGAAUCAGUUCCUGGCCACACAACAGCAGCCCCAACCACCUCAACCCCAAGCGCCCCAACAGGGCGCGAUGCCCAACGCAGGGCCUCCACCGAACGUUGCGGCUGCUUUUCCCGGGCCCACCGCUAUGCAACGCACGCAGCUUAUAAGGCAACAAAUGAUGCAACAGCAGCAACAGCAACAACAACAGCAACAACAGCAGCAGCAGCAGCAUCAGAAACAGCAUCCAGGACCACCUGGCAUGCAAGGUCCUCAGCAGGGUCUGUUCGGACCACAGCAAGCGCAGCAAACACAGCAGCAGCAGCAGCAGCAGCAACAACAACAACAACAACAACAACAACAACAACAACAACAACAACAACAGCAGCAGAGCAUGUACGCGGGUAUGCAGCAAGGUAUGAAUCAGAAUUACACCGGCUACGGAGGUCAGCAGAUGAUGGCUCAACCACAGCAACAGCAGCAGCCAAACAUGAUGGCCCAGCAACAGACCAUGUUCCAGAAUCAGCAGCAAAUGAUAGGAACGCAAAAUCAACAACAGAUGAUGAGCGCCCAGAACCAGCAGCAGAUAUUGAAUGCUCAGCGUAGUCAGGAUUACAUGCAACAGCAAAGGAUGCAACCGGGGGCUCCAAGGCCACCUUAUAUGCAGCAGGCGCCAAACGUUACGAUGAAUACAAUGGGUCCAAUGGGUGGUGGCGUACAAAACCAGCCGGCACCUCCUUACCGGCAAGCAGGUGGCAAACCCGGUGCCCUGAAUGUUGGCGGUGUUGGCCAACCCAAUGUUGGUCUUCAGCCGAAUCAACAGCAUAUGCAAAGCCAACUACUAAGCCAACAGCAGCAACGUGUAAGGCAAUUGAUCCUGCAACAGCAACAAAAUAUGCAACAACAGCAAGCCCAACAGCAAACAGGCACUGCCGGACAACAGGCAACCCCUCAACUGGUUGCCCACCUGCAGCGUAAUCUCAAUCCGGGCCCACAACAUCCUUACCAGCACCAACCACCGCCUUACUAAGUGUACUUCGUCGAGUUAAAAAAAAAAUAAAAUAAAAAAGUUUACAUGUGUAUGUGGCUGUGUUUGGCGCCUCUUCAUGGACGCAACAAUUAGUUAAAUGGAACAUGCGUUUUAGGUGAAAAAAAAAAGAGAAGAAAACAAUUUAAACCCACAGAGUCAUUGUAAAACUUGUAAAUGUUUAAGUAUUUUACUGUGGGAAAGUUUUUAAGUUGACUGCAUGAAUGGGUGUAGUUAAUUCAUUAAAAGCUAUGAAAGAAAUGAAUGAAGAAAAACAAAGCAAAUCAUUGCCGAAUUCUAUUUGAGAAGACGUAAGUAUAUGUGUAUGUAGUGAUGUUCAAGUGUGAGAGUGAUAGAAAGGUAUAAUUAUUUUUUAAUUUAGUAAGUGAACCAAUUUCAAGAAAUAGAUGGUGUGGAAACAGGGCUCUGACUUGUAAAUGAUUUUUAUUUUGCAUCAAUUUUUAAGCUGUAAAUUAUUUCAAAGAUAAUUAUUUUUUUCCUUUUUUAUUUUCAAAAUGGUGUACCAUAAUUGGUACCAACAAUCAAUGAUCAUUGUGUAUCUUAUUGAUUCAGCAUGAAAUGUAAUUUUAUAAAAUGAUAGUUGACCAAGCUCAGCUUUAAUAGAAUUUUUUUUGUAAAUAUUGUU
Molecule: unclassified non-coding RNA, 8410 nt
Filed under: Copidosoma floridanum
Lineage: Eukaryota; Metazoa; Arthropoda; Insecta; Hymenoptera; Encyrtidae
Description: mediator of RNA polymerase II transcription subunit 12, transcript variant X6
Source: RNAcentral